UAUCCUCUCGCUAGACAAGCAAACUCAGCAAAGUAGUAAUGAAAACACUUCGGUGGUGGUGAGGGAAUCGGCUUUCCAAAUGUUUGAAAGUCCCUAAGGAUGUUUUCACAUUUGAGUCUUCUUUACAUCUGUGCAUGCUUGUACGUUAUUUUCCCGCUGAGCGGGCUUUUUCAAGCGCAGGAUAGACGCCUCAGGAUGUGAUAGAGAAGUCUAAAGCAGGAGAUAUCCCUAUAGUCAUUGAUGCAGUUCAGCUGAAUGUUAAACCAGAUUUUGCGAACCAGCCCGGUUUGCAGUGUCUGGUGACAGAUAGGCUACGGAGAGUUACGAAUGCGCUCUGUUUCAGCAGUGGAGAUUGAAGGAUGAUGAGAGCUGACAUCUUUCCCAGCCUUGCGAAAUUUUUUGAGGAUGGCCCUGAAUACAACGUUGGAUGAUUUGAAUUCCGUUUGCCCAGUUAUAUUAUAUUUAGAAAUAUAAAGGUUCAGUCCAGCUCUUAGGGAGAGAAAACUUGUCACUGAAUACUCUGUUGCGUGGAAAGCUCGCAGCUGGGUAUUUAAGGUGUUUGCCUCCUCUCUCUCUACCUCUUUAACAGAAGUAUUUUUAGAUUUAAGCCAGUCGUUAAAAACAAUUACUGCCCAAGCUGUUGUUUUUUUGGUGUUUACUUUGUGUUUUUCACCCCCAGGACUGUCUAGCUGUUCAUCGCUGAUUGUUUUAUGUAAUUUGCUGUUGCCGGCAGCCUUUGAUGUUCUCUUUCAUUUGUAACGUUUUUCAUCUGGACUGUCCAGUUCAGCUGCCGCCCAGUUGUUGAAAUUCUCAUGCUUUCCAUAAAUAUUAAAAGUUAUUUCUGGAAAAUUGAAAUUGUCUGUCAUUUUGUUUAAUGUUUGAUCUUUUUGUUUGUUGUUUGAUGCUGUGGUGGACUGUAGGCUAGCCUAUAACUUUUCCAUUAUUUCAGUUAACUUGACGGAGUGAUAUGGAACCGUUAUGCGGCCAAGACUUGGAACUAUUACCUAGCCGUGUGUUUCCUUGAAAAAUAAUUGCACACCUUAGAACGUCCGUCAACCAAUCAGAAUCAAGCAUUCAACAGACCUGUGGUAUAAUACAACAUAACCACACACACACCUCUACACACAUCAGACUGGUCUGUUAUUAUAAGCAGGUAUUGUGAUGUUUAUGAAGGAGAUUAAAAUUAUCAGGGCUCAUUUCCUUUUUUCUUAUUUUUUUUCUUAAACAAAAGUGGCUUUUGUGUGUGUG
This is a long non-coding RNA of Myxocyprinus asiaticus (Chinese sucker), 1248 nucleotides long. RefSeq lists it as uncharacterized. NCBI's taxonomy places the organism in Eukaryota, Metazoa, Chordata, Actinopteri, Cypriniformes, Catostomidae. The record is from RefSeq and is a predicted model, not a curated record. The transcript is spliced from 3 exons.